GGAUGCGAUCAUACCAGCACUAAAGCACCGGAUCCCAUCAGAACUCCGAAGUUAAGCGUGCUUGGGCGCGAGUAGUACUAGGAUGGGUGACCUCCUGGGAAGUCCUCAUGUUGCAUUCC
Molecule: ribosomal RNA, 119 nt
Filed under: Triticum aestivum (bread wheat)
Lineage: Eukaryota; Viridiplantae; Streptophyta; Magnoliopsida; Poales; Poaceae
Source: RNAcentral